UGAAAAUAUUACGAUUUCAAAUAUUAAUUAAGAUAUUAACAUUACGUGUUAAUAAAUUAGCAACGAAAUAUGUAUGGAAUGAAUUUGGAAGAGGUAGCAUUAAAUUUAUCCCAAAUAAAUACAUUCAUUUUAACUUUCCAUAAAAAAUAAUAACAAGCUUAUAUUUAUGUUGUAUUACGACGAGAAGAAAAUAGGAAAUUCUACGGUUCAUAUUCAGCGACACGAACUUCCAGAACAACUGAUAAUACAAUGUUAACAAUAAGUAAAAUUAAAGCUACUUUAUAUUCAUAAGUUCGAAGUCUCUAUAAUGUCAGAACGGUUAUCCAUGGUCUUGUAAGAAUUAGGUUACUCGCAGUCAGAGGCAAAUGGAUUAAAUGUGAAUAAUGAAUGGGUUUUACAGCGAUUUACAGUAAAUUGAAACAAGUUUAAUAUUACGGAUAGCAUUAUUUAUGUCCACGAUAAUCUACAUCGUUAUCCGUUGAAAUGCCUUUGGGUACUAAUUGAUUUGGAUAUUAAUUUAAAGCUUUGACGUGACCAAUGGCUGCAGCACCGUGGCAAAUGCAAUAAAUCAAUUAUUGAACAAAUUUUUGUCGUAAUCAUUUAUACGAUAUUACUUCUCUAGUUGUAAAUUAAACACCAGUUUCCAUUUUUAAUUUUACUUUCCAGAAAUGUUUCCUCUUUUCAAGUAGA
Osmia lignaria (orchard mason bee) is the source of this 690-nucleotide long non-coding RNA. RefSeq lists it as uncharacterized. NCBI's taxonomy places the organism in Eukaryota, Metazoa, Arthropoda, Insecta, Hymenoptera, Megachilidae. The record is from RefSeq and is a predicted model, not a curated record.